AAUGGACGCAAGUCUGAUGCAGCAACGCCGCGUGGAGAUGAAGGCCCUUGGGUCGUAAACUCCUUUUUUCAGGGAAGAGUGAGGACGGUACCUGAAGAAUAAGUCACGGCUAACUACGUGCCAGCAGCCGCGGUAAUACGUAGGUGGCAAGCGUUAUCCGGAAUUACUGGGCGUAAAGCGCACGCAGGCGGUCUUGUAAGUUUGACGUGAAAGCUACCCGGCUUAACUGGGAGAGGUCGUUGAAUACUGCGAGACUUGAGUUUAGGAGAGGGGUGUAGAAUUCCCGGUGUAGUGGUGGAAUGCGUAGAUAUCGGGGGGAAUACCAGUGGCGAAAGCGGCACCCUAGCCUUUGACUGACGCUCAUGUGCGAAAGCGUGGGGAGCGAACGGGAUUAGAUACCCCGGUAGUCCACGCCGUAAACGAUGAACACUAGGUGUAGGUGAUGUGAAAGUUAUCUGUGCCGAAGCCAACGCGUUAAGUGUUCCGCCUGGGGAGUACGGCCGCAAGGCUA
This 511-nucleotide ribosomal RNA is filed under the name uncultured Chloroflexota bacterium. RNAcentral describes it as "bacterial SSU rRNA". It matches the Rfam family "Bacterial small subunit ribosomal RNA", at positions 370 to 896 of the family's 1533-position model. The record is from RNAcentral. Lineage: Bacteria; Bacillati; Chloroflexota.